AGAUGGCAUAACCUUCUAAUAUGAUAUAUCCAAUCGUAUCAGACUGGAUACCUUUAUUGUGCCUUUUUUAUUGUGCACCAUAAGCUUGCAUAAACUGCACAACAUACCAAACAGAGCAGAUUCAAAUGUUGCUACAUGUAUCUGCUUAGUUAACACCAGUCAGAGGCUGCAUGCACCAUUGUGGCUCUUUGAAAAGCAGAGACUCUGUAGAUCAGCAUGUAACAGACACAAUAACUGCGUCAACGGCGCACUCAUACUAGGCCAUCUGGCCAAUUUCACACCUAACCGUGCUCAACUGGCCCCAUUGUUCUCUGGCCUGCAUCCACACUAGGCCAUCUGUUUACAGAGUGACAGAGGCAUGGAUGUUGUUCUUGUCUUCCUGGCAUUUACAAACAUUUUGGUAAUAUAGGAUAGUUGUGAUCUUAGAAACACAACUGAGCCCUAGCCCCAUAUGUCUGUCUCAAGGCAGAUCAAUAAGGAAUGAUAAAUUACAUUUUGACACAUGUAAUAAAAAACAUAGACAUGAAUGACGUCAUUUCUCCUAGGAGGAAUGUCUUUGUGGAUAUCUGUAAUGACAAUUGUGGAUAGGAGGAAUGUAGUUGGGGAUAUUCGAAAUGUUAGUUUUGACUAGGCGAAACUGAUUUGCAGAUAUCUGCAACACAUAACCAGUCUAGCGAAUUUAUGUCAAAUCGUCUUGCCAUACGGAACAGCCCCUUGGCCACGGCACACAUGGGAGAGGUGUGCCAUGGCCUAAGUACAGAUGCUAAUGAGAUGACACGUGCACAUGCGCGGAUACGCAACGUGAGCUGGAUGACGUAGUCCUUGCGCGACCCUUCUUUCUUUAUAGGUCCAUUCCCUUCUUCCCCACAACAAUCACUUUAAACAAUGGCGGCAAGCGGUUCACGAGUGGGUUUACGUUGGGGCGAUAGUGAAGUCGAGUGUUUACUUGAAAUUUGGGCCGACGACAGCAUUCAGUCGCAGCUGGACACCACACACAAGAAUUCGGGGGUGUUUGGUGCAAUACGUGACUAUUUAGAACAUCGUGGAUACCACCGAACUAUGGGACAGUGUCGGGACAAAGUUAAAAAGCUGAGGUUCCAAUACCUCAGAGUGCGGGACGCACUCCGCAGGUCGGGCUCGUCUUCUGAUGAAAAGGGCCGGUUUCCGUGGUACGACGCUGUCGACCUGAUAAUUGGCCAUAAAACAAGCAGUGUGCCGAGAGUUUUGGAGUCGAGUCCGGUGUUCUGCAGGUUGGAAUGCACGACGGAGGACAAUAUACGUGAAACUCCAUUGAAAGUCGCUUUGUGUCGCAGGCGCCGGAAGGGCCUCCGCGACAAGUACAUCCGGGAGGUCAGGAAGGAGAAGCAGGCAAUCGUGAGUGGGGAGAUCGUAGGCUCACAGGGGAGGUGGAGACACACUGCUGACCGGGCCUUCCUCAUGGAGCCGCCUCGGGACAUGAAGAACUGGACUGGGGGAGGAGGAGAUCACAGCAACACCGAGCCCGAGUUGCCAGUGGUCAACGGCGAGGUCCACGGUUGUGUGGAGAAGCCAGCGGAAAUAGAGGUUAAAACUGAGGAUGUUGAGGACGAGCCUGAGGAGGAGUCGGCUGCGGCCCAUGGCAUGGGGAGCUACACGCGGGCAGAGCCGACCGUUCAACAAAGCUCGGCCAAACUCUUCUGCCAAAGCAUCGUGCCUCAUUUGGAGAGGCUGCCUCUAGAGAAACUCAUCCAGGUGCAGAUACAGAUCCUCCAAGUGGUUCAAGAUGCAACGGGCAGCUAGUCUUUUUUUUAUCACACACAAAUCUAAAAUAAGCUUCAGCAUCACAGAGAUGCAUUUUAGCUAACAAUACAGAAGUAAUUGUUGUUGUAGAAUUGUUCUCCUACUCUCCCAUAUUGGGAAGAACAUGGGAUUAAACGUUUGAGGACCUUUUUGUGUUUUUUUUUAUGAACGUUUUUUUUAUGGUGAAGAAAUGGACAACAAACCUGUCAUUUACUUGUAUCCUUAAGGGUUUUUGAUGAGAUUUUUUCUUUUGGCAUUGUGUUAAAACAUUGUAAAUAAUGUGUAUUUGUUUUCUCCAAUUUCAUUUUAAAAUGAUGACAACAUUUGUGCUACUGCGUUUCAGUAGUUAUGAGUCCAUGCCUGGGAAUGGGGAAAUGCACCCUGGUUUUUAGCAUUUCUCACGAAAGCCGGUCUAUGUAAUCUCUCCUCCCUACCGCUCCAGCAUUAAUCACGAAACACAGCGCAACAAUGGUUUUAUGGCUAAGUUACAUUUCCUAGGAUACCACCAUUUCAAGCGACGGCAUCCAAUGCUGCGACCAUGACACUAUUUUUGUAGUUUAACAGGCUGAAGGAUGUGGAGGAGAGCAACACUAUUUCACUUUCUUCAGUCAAAUCCACUAACAUUCCAUGCACUAGAUAAGGAUAUAUCUAGAAUAUUUUCCAUUUGGAUAUCUGAAAUUAAUGUUUUGACUUUGACAAUUGGAUUGUAUAUCUGAAAUGUGAAUAUUUCCUAGUAACAAGAGAUAUAUUUAUCUAUUUGUUUGUGUAGGCGGCCUAUGUUUGAAUAAUGCUAUUGUGGAUAUCCGAAACUGAAAGCCCAAUAAAGCAAAAGUGACGUCACAUGUCCGAGGAAAAUUGUGGAUAGGAAUAAUGUCAUGGCUGGCUGAUAUCUGAACACUUAUUUUUGAUUAGGAAGAACUGAAUCACGUAUCUGCAACGUAUGAUCCAGUCUCGCUCUUAAAUGUUUAAACGGCUUUGCCAUACUACAUGUCAUCCACAACCACCUCCACCUCACUGUAUGUCCUUUGUCGCUCUUUAUACCUCGUCCCCUUACUCGCUAAAGCCAUUUUGGCAAAAAGCCUCGAAGGCAAACUUCUAGCAUUGCACCCCCAAUAAUAUGCAUUAUUAUGGAUAUGGAUUUGUACACAACAUAUAGUAG
Molecule: long non-coding RNA, 2938 nt
Organism: Gadus morhua (Atlantic cod)
Lineage: Eukaryota; Metazoa; Chordata; Actinopteri; Gadiformes; Gadidae
Source: Ensembl